GGUUCUGUAGUGUAGAGGUUAUCACACUGGAUUGUAUGUUCCUCCGUUCCGAUGUCUCAAUUAGGUUUCAUAGUCCACUAACAAAUUCUGCAGUUGACUCAGUUCCGAAAUCUUCCAGUAACCCCGGUUCGAACCCGGGCAGGACCU
Molecule: transfer RNA, 147 nt
Filed under: Aspergillus alliaceus
Lineage: Eukaryota; Fungi; Ascomycota; Eurotiomycetes; Eurotiales; Aspergillaceae
Description: tRNA-Tyr
Rfam family: tRNA
About the family: Transfer RNA (tRNA) molecules are approximately 80 nucleotides in length. Their secondary structure includes four short double-helical elements and three loops (D, anti-codon, and T loops). Further hydrogen bonds mediate the characteristic L-shaped molecular structure. tRNAs have two regions of fundamental functional importance: the anti-codon, which is responsible for specific mRNA codon recognition, and the 3' end, to which the tRNAs corresponding amino acid is attached (by aminoacyl-tRNA synthetases). tRNAs cope with the degeneracy of the genetic code in two manners: having more than one tRNA (with a specific anti-codon) for a particular amino acid; and 'wobble' base-pairing, i.e. permitting non-standard base-pairing at the 3rd anti-codon position.
Source: RNAcentral